ACAUAAAAGCCUAAAAGACAGCCGUGGUAACGCUCUUCAUUUCUUGGUUCUCCUGUGGUACAUAAGAAACCCGCUACAUAAGCACGAUUGAAUAUAACACCAUAAAAGAAAUGGAACGCGCAUGGACCUACAGAUUACGCACACAGGACACCGGGCGGGACACCAGAUCAGCCUCAAUUCGUCGGGGCAUGGACUCUACAAAGGGUCAAAAGCAUUCCACUGGGAUGCUGGUCCAUAUACUGUACAUGAUUCAUCAAGCCCUUCUCUGCCAAGGCAGAGUUAAAGGAAGAUAUGUAGCCUGGCAAAAGCAACUGACAUGGGCUGCACGUCAUCCAGGCUACCCAUCAGAGGACCCAGAGGACUUGCAGGUGACCAAGUGUUUCCAGGCCUUCUGGACUCCCCAGAAGAAGUCCCGGAUGCCUUUCCUCAUCUUGGAUAAUUUAACUGGCAAGAAGAUGAAAAUAUGUAAGAAUUUCAGAUAGACAAUUGUCUGAAAAAACAAUAAUGUAUUACUUCUUUAUACUUCUUUAUAAUUGUCAAAUAAGAACAUUUCCCACCAGGAAUACUCACUCAUAGGUGGAGAAUCCACAAGCAAUGUACAUCUCUGGCUGGUUUGUAGUGUCUGUAAGGACAAUGCUAUGUUGGACUGAUCAGAAUUCAAGGAUGCACAAUUCAACUUCAAUUUCACUUCCUUUACAUAUUCCUAUAAUUAUACAACUAUACUUACUGGUGCCAAUAUCAAAAAGCACAACCAAUGACCAUUCAAGAGUAAUCUGAGCUUGUCUUACCUUUCUGUUGGUGGCAUAAUUGCACCCCCUCAGAUUCCAAAUCCUCCACAUCAUCACUGCAUGAGUCUUCAAGGUCUUGUAGCUUGUGAGAAACAAUGACAGAGACAAUGGAAAGCAUCUCCUGAUCCUCAAAUAAAUCGUCAAUUUUCAAGGAGCGUUUUAAACGCUUGACCUUCCCAAGGUCAGUGGAGAUGGCAUCUGCCAGCUUCGAUGUCAUCUUAGAAUUGAAACUUUUUUGCUGCCUUUCCAUUUCCUCAAUCAGAUAUUUGGCCACCUCCUCAUCGAACAAUCGGAUCAGCUCAGUCACCAGAUCACUGAUCUGGAUGCGCUGACGCUUGUUGGUCCUUUUUGGCAUACGGCAUAUCUUCUUUACAAGCUUCAUUAGGACUUCUUCUAAUAUAAGCUCCCUAAUGAAGCUGGUGGAACCGGAUGUCACUUGUGUCGUGGAAAUUUCCUCUAUUUACCAAAUCAUGAGAGCAAACCACAACACAAGUCAGAGUUAGUUAUCAAAGUCCAUCUUUAAUUAUAUGAGCUCUAUCACAACCCUGUGACUCUCAGAUCAAUUCAGUGUCUAUCAAUGAAUUCUCUGAGAGCCCCACUACCUUGCAACUGAGAUCCUUUAAUAGCAAAUAACACACAUAGUCAGACAGCAUAGACAUAAAUCGUUCAGCUUUGUCUCCUUACUCAAACCCAGAACCAUAAACCAACCCUCCAUAUCAACAGGCAUAUAUCAAAUUGUCAUUUAGAUACAACCAAUUCUAAAUACAACCAAACCUGGACAAGCUCACGGAGAGCAUAGAAUUAUUCCAGACACUGCCAUCAUCCUCUCCCCGAUGGGAAAAGUAGGGAGUGACUGGCACACAGACACAGUGGAGCAAAAGAUAUGUUUACACAUGAUGACACAUUGACCUCUCCCCUCUCUGCGGCCCAUGCAACUUAGUCUUGACAUAGAACAGAUACUGCAACCCUGCCACAGUAUUAUACAAAAAUAACAUUCUUGAUGAGAAAUAACUUUCAAACAUAUGAUGAAUAUAAAACAUCUUACCUAUGUUACCAACCAAUUCUGAUUAUUCCCCAACACUUGUUCCACAGUGGAUCACUCCGGCUGUUCAAUCUCAGUCUUCAUGCUGCUCUGCUCAGCUUUCUUAUUCAAAGAUUCACGGGUUGUCAUUUCAUUAAACAAGGCUGUCAAUUCUUUCAA
Molecule: long non-coding RNA, 1989 nt
Organism: Oncorhynchus nerka (sockeye salmon)
Lineage: Eukaryota; Metazoa; Chordata; Actinopteri; Salmoniformes; Salmonidae
Exons: 4
Source: RefSeq, a predicted model, not a curated record